This 476-nucleotide ribosomal RNA is filed under the name uncultured bacterium. RNAcentral's name for it is "bacterial SSU rRNA". It matches the Rfam family "Bacterial small subunit ribosomal RNA", at positions 40 to 507 of the family's 1533-position model. The record is from RNAcentral.
CGGAAUGGCUUUACACAUGCAAGUUCGAACGGCAGCGACGGGGGCAACCCUGGUGGCGAGUGGCGAACGGGUGAGUAAUACAUCGGAACGUGCCCAGUCGGUGGGGGAUAACGUAGCGAAAGCUACGCUAAUACCGCAUACGAUCUACGGAUGAAAGCGGGGGAUCGCAAGACCUCGCGCGAUUGGAGCGGCCGAUGGCAGAUUAGGUAGUUGGUGGGGUAAAGGCUCACCAAGCCUUCGAUCUGUAGCUGGUCUGAGAGGACGACCAGCCACACUGGGACUGAGACACGGCCCAGACUCCUACGGGAGGCAGCAGUGGGGAAUUUUGGACAAUGGGCGAAAGCCUGAUCCAGCCAUUCCGCGUGCAGGAUGAAGGCCCUCGGGUUGUAAACUGCUUUUGUACGGAACGAAACGGCCUUUUCUAAUACAGAGGGCUAAUGACGGUACCGUAAGAAUAAGCACCGGCUAACUACGUG